CAUCUUUUCACAGGGGAAAAAGUAGAAACUUCAGAAAAUGGAACAUACUCUAUUUGAUAUCUGUUACAAAUACUAGGGGAAAGCCUCCCCUCAUCGGAGUUCACAGCAAAAUUCCAAGCCUGCAGGAAUUGAAAUAUUUUUGAUUAAAGAGUCUUUAUGCAGACAGUUUGCCACUGUGAUCACUGCAAUGCAAACUCUAACAGCUUUGGAUAAAUUCCCAGUCUGACUCUUACUGUGUAAAAAUCAUCAGACACCACUGGAACAGUUAGAUCCCUAGCUUGGUGGGAUGAAAGAAGGAUGCGUACAGAAGAAGCUGAGAAGCGGUUAGUACUUCUCUGGCUUGAAGCUGUCCGCAACUUCAUUUGGGUAACAGAAUAGAAGGCUGGAAUGAUUCUGAAUUGAGCUGUGGUACAGAGCUGCUGGUCAGUCAGUUACAGUUGGAAUCAGUGGUGGCACAUCUGUAGAUGAACAUAAAUGAAAGUAUAUAGAAAAGGUACUCUACAUCUUCACUAGGUUUUCUGUAGGUUUGGACCGCUUCAUUUGGAGACUGAGCUGGGAAAUCAAUUUUGCUUCAGUAACUAAAUCUUUGGUUUAAGCUGUGAUAGCCUUUGGAGCAGGAUAUCGGAAGAAAUGAUGGCAUGGAGUCAGGGAGAAAAGGUGAAAAGUGAGAGAGAAAGAAACCAGAACCACUUUUCUUAAUAGCACUGGCUUACCCUGAGUUUGUCCUGACCUACCUAGAGGAACUAAAUGAAAGAGGAGGUGACCCAGACAGAAAACCGCAUUCACCAUGGGGCCUGAUCUGCAGCUCAUCGGGAGAUAGACAGCAGCUCAGCAGAAGAGAUUCUGCAAAAAAAUGUCAGCAACCCCAAUCAGAAACAACUUUCAGGACCUUUGGACGCCCAUUUAAUGCCUGCAGAUCCCCUAGGGGAGACUACACAGCUGACAGUGGCACUGGUGAGGAAACUAGAAGAGAAACAUCCUAAGGCCUCAGCUCAAAGUGCCUCCUAACUAGUUCAAAACUAGUUCCUAUGAAGUUAAAGAUGGGCACAGAGCACAUGAUAUCAACCAUUGGUCAUGGCCGACGUCAAAACUCUCCAGCUGCUAACUGGGAGACCGUUCUGUGGUUCUUCUGUAUUGCAAAUUCUAAACUUUCCACAAGUUACCUCGUGCCAUUUGCUUCAUUACAGUAUCAAGAGAUGAAACCCAGUGCAGCAGCAUGACAGAAGAUACAUUGAACAGUCAGCAGACCCAUGAAGAGAGAUACUGGACCUUUCUGUAGUAACAACAUAAUUUCAAAGUGGUGCUCUUGAAAAGUGUCUGACUCCAAUAGCAGCGUUCCCUUUGAAUCUCC
Molecule: long non-coding RNA, 1351 nt
Organism: Oxyura jamaicensis (ruddy duck)
Lineage: Eukaryota; Metazoa; Chordata; Aves; Anseriformes; Anatidae
Exons: 10
Source: RefSeq, a predicted model, not a curated record